UACGUAGGGUGCGAGCGUUGUCCGGAAUUAUUGGGCGUAAAGGGCUCGUAGGCGGUUUGUCGCGUCGGGAGUGAAAUCAUCUGGCUUAACUGGGUGCUUGCUUUCGAUACGGGCAGACUAGAGGUAUGCAGGGGAGAACGGAAUUCCUGGUGUAGCGGUGAAAUGCGCAGAUAUCUGGAGGAACACCGGUGGCGAAGGCGGCAUCCUGGACCAACACUGACGCUGAGGAGCGAAAGCCAGGGGAGCGAACGGG
RNAcentral lists this ribosomal RNA (253 nucleotides) under uncultured bacterium. RNAcentral's name for it is "partial 16S ribosomal RNA". It matches the Rfam family "Bacterial small subunit ribosomal RNA", at positions 524 to 776 of the family's 1533-position model. The record is from RNAcentral.